This 253-nucleotide ribosomal RNA is filed under the name uncultured bacterium. RNAcentral's name for it is "partial 16S ribosomal RNA". It matches the Rfam family "Bacterial small subunit ribosomal RNA", at positions 524 to 776 of the family's 1533-position model. The record is from RNAcentral.
UACGAAGGGGGCUAGCGUUGUUCGGAUUUACUGGGCGUAAAGCGCACGUAGGCGGAUCGUUAAGUCGGGGGUGAAAUCCUGGAGCUCAACUCCAGAACUGCCUUCGAUACUGGCGAUCUAGAGUCCGGAAGAGGUGAGUGGAACUCCUAGUGUAGAGGUGGAAUUCGUAGAUAUUAGGAAGAACACCAGUGGCGAAGGCGGCUCACUGGUCCGGUACUGACGCUGAGGUGCGAAAGCGUGGGGAGCAUACAGG